GUAGUCUGCAACUCGACUACAUGAAGCUGGAAUCGCUAGUAAUCGCAAAUCAGAAUGUUGCGGUGAAUACGUUCCCGGGUCUUGUACACACCGCCCGUCACACCAUGGGAGUCGGAAAUGCCCGAAGUCUGUGAACCCAACGAAAGAGGGAGCAGCCGAAGGUGGGUUCGAUAAUUGGGGUGAAGUCGUAACAAGGUAUC
RNAcentral lists this ribosomal RNA (200 nucleotides) under uncultured bacterium. Its description in RNAcentral is "partial 16S ribosomal RNA". It matches the Rfam family "Bacterial small subunit ribosomal RNA", at positions 1300 to 1500 of the family's 1533-position model. The record is from RNAcentral.